GACGAACGCUGGCGGCGUGCUUAACACAUGCAAGUCGAACGGAGAAUUUUAUUUCGGUGAAAUUCUUCGUGGCGAACGGGUGAGUAACGCGUAGACAACCUACCUCUCAGAUGGGGACAACAUCGCGAAAGCGGUGCUAAUACCGAAUGAUGUAACUUUUCUGCAUGGAAGAGUUACCAAAGGCGGCCUCUAUUUAUAAGCUGUCACUGAGAGAGGGGUCUGUGUCUGAUUAGCUAGUUGGCGGGGUAAUGGCCCACCAAGGCGACGAUCAGUAGCCGGUCUGAGAGGAUGAACGGCCACAUUGGGACUGAGACACGGCCCAAACUCCUACGGGAGGCAGCAGUGGGGAGUCUUCCGCAAUGGACGAAAGUCUGACGGAGCAACGCCGCGUGAGUGAAGAAGGUUUUCGGAUCGUAAAGCUCUGCUGUUUGAGACGAACGUGCAAUUUUUGAAUAAGGAAUUGUAAUGACGGUAUUAAACGAGAAAGCCACGGCUAACUACGUGCCAGCCGCCGCCGUAA
Molecule: ribosomal RNA, 520 nt
Filed under: uncultured bacterium
Lineage: Bacteria
Description: partial 16S ribosomal RNA
Rfam family: Bacterial small subunit ribosomal RNA
Source: RNAcentral